This is an RNA transcript of Gordionus sp. m RMFG-2023, 1561 nucleotides long. It is a transcript of the gene named zinc finger protein 596-like, with no coding region annotated. Lineage: Eukaryota; Metazoa; Nematomorpha; Gordioida; Chordodea; Parachordodidae. The transcript has 9 exons. The record is from RefSeq and is a predicted model, not a curated record.
AAAUCUUGCUAGUCAUGUGAUAAAAUAAUUUCCAUGAGUUGAACAAUAAUCAAAAUCAUAAAUUAAAAUAUAAUGACAGAAUCUAGAGAUAUUUUUUUUCUCAAAACGGAACUGGCCAAAAUGGAUAAUGAGAAUGGUGAACUUAUUCAACAUCCAUUACGACCAUCAAAAAUGAAACUAAAUCCUGAAAAGUCUGGAAAGAUAAAACUUAUUCCUCUACACAAAAUUAAAGAAGCUUCAAUUAAAUAUAAACAUUUGUUACCCAAACAAAAUAAUGUGAUCUCUUUGGACUAUGAGUCAUUAAUUCAGAUUGUUCUGAAAAUUUUUAAGAACUCUAACUUAUUUACCGAUAAUAAUAAAAUGGAACAUAUUAAAACUGAGCAAAUGACAGAUUCAAACCUCUCACAGAACUCCAAUAAUGAUAAAUUAAAUGAGCUAUUAUUUAAACUUAAUAUAAUAUUGCCUGCAAUUGUAAAGAUACUACAUCAAUCACAUAUAAAUAUUAACCACACUAGAUCAGAUAAUUUUCCCAACAUUAACUCAGAAAAAUAUCCUACAAACAUUAAAGAAUAUGAGCCAUUUCUUAUAGAAGAUUUAAAACACAAAACUUGUGAAUCACAGAAUCCUUCAACAAAAGAACAACAAUUUAGUGCUUCGAUUCUAUCUACUCAAAUGACUAAGGCACUACUUUCCACCCUUUCUCCGAAUAAUAAAGAACAUAUGAUAUCAUGUUUGCUUUCUUCAAAACAAAUUAAUAAAACUAUUGUAAAUAAAAAUAAUUUCCGAGUCAACCCCCAAAAUACCACUGAUAUCAAAAAAGAUUUUAAAAUGAAACCUAUCUGUUUCAAGGAUACAAUGGAAGAUUUAAAUGAAACUAAAGGAGAAAGACCAUAUGCCUGCAGUUGGCCUGAUUGCGUUUGGAGGUUUCCAAGGCUGGACGAGUUGAACCGUCAUUUUAGAACUCACACUGGGGAACGACCUUUUAAAUGCCACAUUUGUGAAAAACGUUUUACCCGAGCUGAUCAUAUGAGGUGCCAUAUUAAAAGGCACGAUGAAAACUUCAAAGGUGAAAAAUUUAUUGGAUGAUAUGUUCUUGAAAGCUAACGAUGAUGACAAAAAUUCAGACCACCCCAGGCGUAAAACGAUUCUUAUAUGACUCAGAAGCUAACGUUGAUGACGAAAAUUCAAACCAACCCCAGGCGAAAAGCGAUUCUUAUAUAACUAGAUUAAAAUGCCGAUGACGAUGAUAGUGCUAAAAGAUAUUUAUGCCACUUAUUGACAUACAAACAAGAUCGAUAAACUACAAAUUAACCCGACGACUAAUUCGCGAUAACAAACCACGACGAAAUUUAUUUGCUAUAAGAAAUCGACGAUCGCAAAAAAUAAAUGUAGGAUUUCUCAGAGAGGGGAAUGUUGUAGACGUGAAAUAAAAUGUAAAAUAAAAUAAUAGAUUAAUAAAAUAAAAUUAAAAUAAUUAUAAUAUUUGAGUAACCUUUUAAAAAAUAUAUCGCGAUUUCUACUUAUGACCUUUUAAAAAUAUAUCGCGAUUUCUACAUAAACU